RNAcentral lists this ribosomal RNA (452 nucleotides) under uncultured bacterium. Its description in RNAcentral is "SSU rRNA". It matches the Rfam family "Bacterial small subunit ribosomal RNA", at positions 1 to 450 of the family's 1533-position model. The record is from RNAcentral.
GGCUUAGAGUUUGAUCCUGGCUCAGGGCGAACGCUGGCGGCGUGCUUAACACAUGCAAGUCUACGAGAAAGAGGUAGCAAUAUCUUGAUUAAAGUGGCGCACGGGUGAGUAACACGUAAGCAAUCUACCUUUAGGUUUGGAAUAACUCCGAGAAAUCGGGGCUAAUACCGAAUAAUGCAGCGGCACCACAUGGUGAUGUUGUUAAAGUUCUUGUAACGCCUAUAGAUGAGCUUGCGUCUGAUUAGCUAGUUGGUGAGGUAACGGCCCACCAAGGCUACGAUCAGUAGCUGGUCUGAGAGGAUGAUCAGCCACACUGGAACUGAGACACGGUCCACGACUCCUACGGGAGGCAGCAGUGAGGAAUAUUGGGCAAUGUCCGAAAGGGUGACCCAGCAACGCCGCGUGGAGGAUGAAUGUCGUAAGAUUGUAAACUCCUGUUAGAGGGGAAGAAC